UACGUAGGUGGCAAGCGCUGUCCGGAUUUACUGGGCGUAAAGAGCGCGCAGGCGGUCGGAUCAGUCGAAUGUGAAAGCCCCCGGCUCAACUGGGGAGGGUCAUUCGAUACUGUUCGACUCGAAGGCAGGAGAGGGAAGCGGAAUUCCCGGUGUAGUGGUGAAAUGCGUAGAUAUCGGGAGGAACACCAGUGGCGAAGGCGGCUUUCUGGCCUGUUCUUGACGCUGAGGCGCGAAAGCUAGGGGAGCGAACGGG
RNAcentral lists this ribosomal RNA (253 nucleotides) under uncultured bacterium. Its description in RNAcentral is "partial 16S ribosomal RNA". It matches the Rfam family "Bacterial small subunit ribosomal RNA", at positions 524 to 776 of the family's 1533-position model. The record is from RNAcentral.